AUAAAGAGCCAAAUAGGUUAAACAAACCCUUGAAUUGUGGUUUCAAAAAUGUAUUUUACUUUGGCUC
Molecule: transfer RNA, 67 nt
Filed under: Tubifex tubifex (sludge worm)
Lineage: Eukaryota; Metazoa; Annelida; Clitellata; Tubificida; Naididae
Description: tRNA-His
Source: RNAcentral